This 443-nucleotide ribosomal RNA is filed under the name uncultured bacterium. Its description in RNAcentral is "partial 16S ribosomal RNA". It matches the Rfam family "Bacterial small subunit ribosomal RNA", at positions 338 to 795 of the family's 1533-position model. The record is from RNAcentral.
CCUACGGUGGGGCAGCAGUGGGGAAUAUUCGGCAAUGGGCGCAAGCCUGACCCAGCAACGCCGCGUGAAGGAAGAAGGCUUUCGGGUUGUAAACUUCUUUUGUCGGGGAGAGGUAGAAGACGGUACCUGACGAAUAAGCCACGGCUAACUACGUGCCAGCAGCCGCGGUAAUACGUAGGUGGCAAGCGUUGUCCGGAUUUACGGGGUGUAAAGGGCGUGUAGCGGGGUUGACAAGUCAUAUGUGAAAUCUAGCGGCUUAACCUGAGAACUGCAUUUGAAACUGUUGAUCUUGAGUACUGGAGAGGUAAGUGGAAUUCCUAGUGUAGCGGUGAAAUGCGUAGAGAUUAGGAGGAACACCAGUGGCGAAGGCGAUCUGCUGGACAGUAACUGACGGUGAGGCGCGAGAGCGUGGGGAGCAAACAGGAUUAGAUACCCUUGUAGUC